This 465-nucleotide ribosomal RNA is filed under the name uncultured Pseudomonadaceae bacterium. RNAcentral describes it as "bacterial SSU rRNA". It matches the Rfam family "Bacterial small subunit ribosomal RNA", at positions 338 to 795 of the family's 1533-position model. Lineage: Bacteria; Pseudomonadati; Pseudomonadota; Gammaproteobacteria; Pseudomonadales; Pseudomonadaceae. The record is from RNAcentral.
CCUACGGGAGGCUGCAGUGGGGAAUAUUGGACAAUGGGCGAAAGCCUGAUCCAGCCAUGCCGCGUGUGUGAAGAAGGUCUUCGGAUUGUAAAGCACUUUAAGUUGGGAGGAAGGGCAGUAAGUUAAUACCUUGCUGUUUUGACGUUACCAACAGAAUAAGCACCGGCUAACUUCGUGCCAGCAGCCGCGGUAAUACGAAGGGUGCAAGCGUUAAUCGGAAUUACUGGGCGUAAAGCGCGCGUAGGUGGUUUUGUAAGUUGGAUGUGAAAGCCCCGGGCUCAACCUGGGAACUGCAUCCAAAACUGCAUGACUCGAGUACGGUAGAGGGUGGUGGAAUUUCCUGUGUAGCGGUGAAAUGCGUAGAUAUAGGAAGGAACACCAGUGGCGAAGGCGACCACCUGGACUGAUACUGACACUGAGGUGCGAAAGCGUGGGGAGCAAACAGGAUUAGAUACCCUAGUAGUC